RNAcentral lists this non-coding RNA (157 nucleotides) under human gut metagenome. The record is from RNAcentral.
AGCGAUGAUAUGAGUAGAGGAAGUGGUGUAGCGAUUCUUUUGAGCGUACGAACAGAAACUUGAUAUAAGGCUAAAUGGUGGAUGAUAGUGCUCAACAACUAUAAGUCCAAAAGGUAAACGUAAAACCAAAAGAGUAAAUCAAGACGUUGUGAAAGAA